RNAcentral lists this ribosomal RNA (428 nucleotides) under uncultured bacterium. RNAcentral's name for it is "bacterial SSU rRNA". It matches the Rfam family "Bacterial small subunit ribosomal RNA", at positions 355 to 775 of the family's 1533-position model. The record is from RNAcentral.
UGAGGAAUUUUGCGCAAUGGCCGCAAGGCUGACGCAGCAACGCCGCGUGGGUGAUGAAGGCCUUCGGGUCGUAAAGCCCUGUCAGGUGGGAAGAAAGGCCUGGAGCGGAAAGGCUUCAGGUUUGACGGUACCACCCGAGGAAGCACCGGCUAACUCCGUGCCCGCAGCCGCGGUAAUAUGGAGGGUGCGAGCGUUAUUCGGAAUUACUGGGCGUAAAGCGCGUGUAGGCGGGGAGACAAGUCUGAUGUGAAAGCCCUGGGCUUAACCUGGGAAGCGCAUUGGAAACUGUUUUUCUUGAGUACUGGAGAGGAAGGGGGAAUUCCCGGUGUAGAGGUGAAAUUCGUAGAGAUCGGGAGGAAUACCAGUGGCGUAGGCGCCCUUCUGGACGGUAACUGACGCUGAGACGCGAAAGCGUGGGGAGCAAACAG